UACGAAGGGGGCUAGCGUUGCUCGGAAUGACUGGGCGUAAAGGGCGCGUAGGCGGCUUGCACCGUCAGAUGUGAAAUUCCUGGGCUUAACCUGGGGGCUGCAUUUGAUACGUGUGGGCUUGAGUGCGGAAGAGGGUCGUGGAAUUCCCAGUGUAGAGGUGAAAUUCGUAGAUAUUGGGAAGAACACCGGUGGCGAAGGCGGCCUGCUGGGAUCUUGCUGACGCUGAGGCGCGACAGCGUGGGGAGCAAACAGG
RNAcentral lists this ribosomal RNA (253 nucleotides) under uncultured bacterium. Its description in RNAcentral is "partial 16S ribosomal RNA". It matches the Rfam family "Bacterial small subunit ribosomal RNA", at positions 524 to 776 of the family's 1533-position model. The record is from RNAcentral.